AGCAGCCACCUUUUGAAACGCGUCAAAGCGUAACUUUAACACCCAAAAUACCAUUAAUUUUUAUGAACCCCUAAUCUAUAAUGAAUGACUCCAUAUUUAUAUGGAAGACACCAUGCUAGGAUUAGUAACAAGAAUUUAUAAUUCUCCAAAAUGCAAAUAUAAACCAACAUGGAUAGACCAUUGGUAGUUACCGAACCUAAAUUUAAUGCAAUAACAUCCACAAGAAAACUCUGCAGCACUCACUCGUUAACCUAACACCAGCGCAUUACAGGAAAGAUUCAAAAAAAGAGAAGGAAUUCGGCAAAUGACGGCCCCGCCUGUUUACCAAAAACAUCGCCUCUUGACUUAUAAUAAGAGGUCUAGCCUGCCCAGUGAAUUUUAAACGGCCGCGGUAUCCUAACCGCGCGAAGGUAGCAUAAUCACUUGUUCUUUAAAUGGGGACUCGUAUCAACGGCAUCACGAGGGUUUUACUGUCUCCUCUUUUUGAUCAGUGAAAUUGAUCUUCCCGUGAAGAAGCGGGAAUAUUUUUAUAAGACGAGAAGACCCCAUGGAGCUUUAAACCAAAUAACAACUUAACCACUUAUCCCAUAAUAAAUUUAACCCCUGUUAUAAGGUUUUUGGUUGGGGUGACCGCGGAGUAAAGCACAUCCUCCACGACGGAAAGAAUAAAAUCUUUAUUUAAGAACCACACUUCUAGAAAUUAGUAUACUAACGUUUACUGACCCGACAAUCGAUCAACGGACCAAGUUACCCUGGGGAUAACAGCGCAAUCUACUUCGAGAGCUCAUAUCGACAAGUAGGCUUACGACCUCGAUGUUGGAUCAGGGUAUCCCGGUGGUGCAGCCGCUACCGAAGGUUCGUUUGUUCAACGAUUAAAACCCUACGUGAUCUG
RNAcentral lists this ribosomal RNA (892 nucleotides) under Polypedates leucomystax (Java whipping frog). RNAcentral's name for it is "partial 16S ribosomal RNA". It matches the Rfam family "Bacterial large subunit ribosomal RNA", at positions 1111 to 2607 of the family's 2925-position model. The record is from RNAcentral. Lineage: Eukaryota; Metazoa; Chordata; Amphibia; Anura; Rhacophoridae.